UUCUGGGGUUGCAUGGGGUGGUAUUGGGGUUACAUGGGGCUAGCGUUGGGGUUACAUGCGGCUAGUUUUGGGGUUACAUGGGGCUGGGGUUACAUGGGGCUGGUGUCAGGGUUACAUGGGGCUGGUGUUGGGGUUACAUGGGCUGGUGUUGGGGUUACAUGGGGCUGGGGUUACAUGGGGCUGGUCCUGGGGUUACAUGGGGCUAGCGUUGGGGUUACAUGUGGCUAGUGUUGGGGAUACAUGGGGCUGGGGUUACAUGGGGAUGGUGCUGGGGCUACAUGGGGCUGGUGUUGGGGUUACAUGGGACUGUUGUUGGGGUUAUAUGGGGCUAGCGUUGGGGUUACAUGUGGCUAGUGUUGGGGUUACAUGGGGCUGGUGUUGGGGUUACAUGGGGCAUGUGUUGGGGUUACAUGGGGCUGGGGUUACAUGAGGAUGGUGCUGGGGUUACAUGGGGCUGGUGUUGGGGUUACAUGGGGCAUGUGUUGGGGUUACAUGGGACUGGUGUUGGGGCUGGUGUUGGGGUUACAUGGGACUGGUGUUGGGGUUACAUGGGGCUGGUUCUGGGGUUGCAUGGGGCUGGUGUUGGGGUUACAUGGGGCUGGGGUUACAUGGGGCUGGUGCUGGGGUUACAUGGGGCUAGCAUUGGGGUUACAUGUGGCUAGUGUUGGGGUUACAUGGGGCUGGGGUUACAUGAGGAUGGUGCUGGGGUUACAUGGGGCUGGUGAUGGGGUUACAUGGGACUGUUGUUGGGGUUAUAUGGGGCUAGCGUUGGGGUACAUGUGGCUAGUGUUGGUGUUACAUGGGGCUGGGGUUACAUGGGGAUGGUGUUGGGGUUACAUGGGGCUGUUGUUGGGAUUACAUGGGGCUGGUGCUGGGGUUACAUGGGGCUGGUGUUGGGGUUACAUGGGGCUAGUGUUGGGGCUGGUGUUUGGGUUACAUGGGACUGGUGUUGGGGUUACAUGGGGCUGGUUCUGGGGUUACAUGGGACUGGUGUUGGGGUUACAUGGGGCUGGUUCUGGGGUUACAUGGGACUGGUGUUGGGGUUUCAUGGGGCUGGUUUUGGGGUUACAGUGGGCUGGUGUUACAUGGGGCUGGUACUGGUGUUACAUGGGGCUGGUUCUGGGGUUACAUGGGGCUGUUGUUGGUGUUACAUGGGGCUGGUUCUGGGGUUACAUGGGGCUGGUGUUGGGGUUACAUGGGGCUGGUGUUGGGGUUACAUGGGGCUGGUGUUGGGGUUACAUGGGGCUGGUGUUGGGGUUACAUGGGGCUGGUGUUGGGGUUACAUGGGGCUGUUGUUGGGGUUACAUGGGGCUGGUGUUCCAUGGGGCUGGUGUUCCAUGGGGCUGGUGUUGGGGUUACAUGGGGCUGGUGUUGGGGUUACAUGGGGCUAGCGUUGGGGUUACAUGGGGCUAGCAUUGGGGUUACAUGGGCCUGGUGUUGGGUUUACAUGGGGAUGGUGUUGUGGUUACAUGGGGCUGGUGUUGGGGUUACAUGGGGCUGGUGUUCGGGUUACAUGGGUCUGGUGUUGGGAUUACAUGGGGCUGGGCUAACAUGGUUCUGGUGCUGGGGUUACAUUGGGCUAGCAUUGGGGUUACAUGUGGCUAGUGUUGGGGUUACAUGGGGCUGGGGUUACAUGGGGAUGGUGCUGGGGUUACAUGGAGCUGGUGUUGGGGUUACAUGGGGCUGUUGUUGGGAUUACAUGGGGCUAGUUCUGGGGUUGCAUGGGGGUUACAUGGGGCUAGCGUUGGGGUUACAUGCGGCUAGUUUUGG
Oncorhynchus tshawytscha (Chinook salmon) is the source of this 1770-nucleotide long non-coding RNA. The record is from Ensembl. Lineage: Eukaryota; Metazoa; Chordata; Actinopteri; Salmoniformes; Salmonidae.